GGUUGUAUAGUGUAGCGGUUAGCACGUGGGAUUUUGACUACAUAUCAGAAUCAUGUUCUUUAAGAACUUUCCCGAAUCCCCGGUUCGAGCCCGGGUACGACCU
This 103-nucleotide transfer RNA is filed under the name Cadophora sp. DSE1049. It matches the Rfam family "tRNA". Rfam says of the family: Transfer RNA (tRNA) molecules are approximately 80 nucleotides in length. Their secondary structure includes four short double-helical elements and three loops (D, anti-codon, and T loops). Lineage: Eukaryota; Fungi; Ascomycota; Leotiomycetes; Helotiales; Ploettnerulaceae. The record is from Rfam by way of RNAcentral.